This 252-nucleotide ribosomal RNA is filed under the name uncultured bacterium. RNAcentral's name for it is "partial 16S ribosomal RNA". It matches the Rfam family "Bacterial small subunit ribosomal RNA", at positions 524 to 776 of the family's 1533-position model. The record is from RNAcentral.
UACGGAGGAUGCGAGCGUUAUCCGGAUUUAUUGGGUUUAAAGGGUGCGUAGGCGGCCUGCCAAGUCAGCGGUAAAAUUGCGGGGCUCAACCCCGUACAGCCGUUGAAACUGCCGGGCUCGAGUGGGCGAGAAGUAUGCGGGAUGCGUGGUGUAGCGGUGAAAUGCAUAGAUAUCACGCAGAACCCCGAUUGCGAAGGCAGCAUACCGGCGCCCUACUGACGCUGAGGCACGAAAGUGCGGGGAUCAAACAGG